ACGGGUGAGUAACACGUGGGAACGUACCCUUUUCUACGGAAUAACCCAGGGAAACUUGGACUAAUACCGUAUGUGCCCUUCGGGGGGAAGAUUUAUCGGAAAAGGAUCGGCCCGCGUUGGAUUAGCUAGUUGGUGGGGUAAAGGCCUACCAAGGCGACGAUCCAUAGCUGGUCUGAGAGGAUGAUCAGCCACAUUGGGACUGAGACACGGCCCAAACUCCUACGGGAGGCAGCAGUGGGGAAUAUUGGACAAUGGGCGCAAGCCUGAUCCAGCCAUGCCGCGUGAGUGAUGAAGGCCUUAGGGUUGUAAAGCUCUUUCACCGGAGAAGAUAAUGACGGUAUCCGGAGAAGAAGCCCCGGCUAACUUCGUGCCAGCAGCCGCGGUAAUACGAAGGGGGCUAGCGUUGUUCGGAUUUACUGGGCGUAAAGCGCACGUAGGCGGAUCGAUCAGUCAGGGGUGAAAUCCCAGAGCUCAACUCUGGAACUGCCUUUGAUACUGUCGAUCUGGAGUAUGGAAGAGGUGAGUGGAAUUCCGAGUGUAGAGGUGAAAUUCGUAGA
This 557-nucleotide ribosomal RNA is filed under the name uncultured bacterium. RNAcentral describes it as "bacterial SSU rRNA". It matches the Rfam family "Bacterial small subunit ribosomal RNA", at positions 102 to 694 of the family's 1533-position model. The record is from RNAcentral.